AGGGAUCAGUGGCCAAGAUUUGGGCCAGAGCCAGGCCAGCUGCUUCCCUGAGAGUAGACAGCCCCAUGGAUGCAGGACAGGCAAUCUGGCUUGAUCUCUUCACUCUCCUUGUCAAGUGUAAAUGUCACUACGUGUCCUGCCAGAUAUGUGGAGAUGGCUGCGUGUUCUCAGAAAGUUUCCGGUUUCUCCCUCUUUGAGCAAGCAUUUCUCAUUCUUUCCAGCUUCCAUCCAGUCACAGGCUUGUGGAAGGCACUGCACACCUCGUCAAGCAAAGGAAAGUGUGCCCAUUGAUAAAUUAACCUUCCAAUGAAGUCAAAAGCGGGAGGAAAUAUUUCAGGACAAGAGAAUACAAAAAGAGUUAAACUACAUAGUGCCCAAUCGAGCACAAGGUCAAAGAGAACAACCAAUCCUGAUGGAAUUGAUGAAAAUUUUGAGCCAAGGCAAAAGAACUUGAACUUGUUUGGGGUUUGAGGUUGUGGCUGUUUAAUAUGUGUUAAAAGCAGGACUUCCUUGUCCCACAUUCUACCAAGUAUCUCAAAUUUGGCUCCUACCUAGCUCCUAUAAUCUAGUCCCUUUUCCAUCUUUCAUGGUGUGGCAAACUUUCUAUAGUCCUGGCUACUGAUUGGGUAAAUGCAUAAUUGCUUAUAUCAUUUUAAUUGGGCCCUGAUUCAAGGACCUGUUAUAGAUUUGUUUUUCCUUUACUUAUAUAUUUUUUAGACAUAAGAUUUUUACAUUUUGUAUUAUAUCCACAAGUUAUUUUUCUCUUUUAUUUGGAUUUUUUCAUGUUUUUUAUUUUCUUUUGCAAAUUGAUUCAUAUAUCUCAUAACUCAGCCAUACAUUCCUGAGUGAUCCCUAUGUUUGUUAUUAUUAACUUCAGGGGGGCCAAGUUAUUGUUGUGAACUUUGAUUUAAAUUUGAGCAAUUUUAGGAUAAGAAACUUGCUACCUCCCAGAAUCCAGAAUGCGCCAUGAAGAUAGAUGACGGCAGAGACCACAUGCUGCACCAGAAGAUCCAAAGUGAAUGUUGGGAUGUGAAUUGAACUAUGGGGGGUUAAAAUGCCUUUGUUUUAAAUGUAUACUCUUAUGCCAAAGGGGACUGCCCCCAAAUUGGCUUUUUGUCAACAUAGUAAUCAUUGGUUUUGUUCUCUUUUCCUUUUAUCCACAAAUUAUUCUAAUUUUUAGGUUGAUUAUGUUUCCAUGAUCCUUUGGGGGAAACUGGUUUCCCAAUAGGAUCAUGGGGGAGGGGGGAAAUAUGUAUAAAUGGAGAUUUUGAGCCUUUGGACUUCAUCCCCCAGAAGUCCCUUAUUAUUUCCCAAAAUUUCAUUUUCCUAUGUCCCCACAUUUUGUGUGAUUGCAUUUAAGUGGCUGUAACUCCUCCCUCUUUCUCUCUUGGACCUGUGACCAAGCUGAAAUCAGGCAAUUCUUUU
This 1425-nucleotide long non-coding RNA is filed under the name Monodelphis domestica (gray short-tailed opossum). RNAcentral's name for it is "lncRNA (ENSMODG00000043823.1)". The record is from RNAcentral. Lineage: Eukaryota; Metazoa; Chordata; Mammalia; Didelphimorphia; Didelphidae.